UCUUAAAAUACACGUGCGUGUUGCCAGUUGCCACUACCCUUUUCUUCCAGAUCUUUCUUUUUCUUCAUCUGCUCUCACUAUCUGCCUUUCUUCCCAUCGAUUCUCACUCCUCGAUCCAUCGUCUUCACCGCUGCAUCAUCUUCUCUUGCUAUCUUUACCAAAUCGAUUCCAUUCUUCUUGAACCCUAAAUCGAUCUUCAGAAACCUUUUUUACCACCGGAUCUCCUCAGCGUGUCUUCCUUAAAGUCGGGUUUGCCAAGCCUCGAUUUUGCCUUCAUAUAAUGGGCAGAAGUUGGAUUGUUGAUGGUAGAGCUAUUGCAUGAAAGGAUGAAACAUGUAGUCCGCCUUUGGUAAAUCAAAUCAAAGACUGGAGCAAUUCAGGAUUGACCACGAUGCCAUUUCAGGAUUGAUAGUUGUGAUGUGUCAGUAGAGUAGUGGCCUGGGCUUACCGUUGGUGUGAAAUUGGAACCCACUGAUCUGAUCUUGAGCUCUUAGAUCAUUCGGCAGCCAAAUGUGGUGUGGGAAAUCAAAAACCACACCAAUUAAUUAAUGAGUUCAUCCCUACACUUGAUGUAGAUGAAGGAAUAUGUUCCAAACAUCCUGAAAAUCUUCUUGGAUAGUGAAGUUGAGAAAAUAUUAUAUGGACUCAGCUAUAUAGGAGCAACUAAUGCAUCAUUGUUGGGGGUGAGAUGGACAAACUUGCAAUUGAAGAAGAGGUUUAAAGAGCGGUGGUGUUCCUCAAAAAGUUUCUUACAAGGAUUAACCAUCUCAAAAACAGAUUUCCCGCCGCGCGCCGCAUUCUAACCUUCCAGUUUGAAUUUCGCCACCACCCCUUCAGGUUUUAAGCUUUAUAUUUUACUCCUUGCACUAUUACUUUAUUUUUUUACGUCACCACGCUCUCAAGUUUUAAACUUUGUCUCUUUACCCCUUGCGCUAUCUCAAGUUUUAAACGUUGCGUUUUUACUCAUUGCACUGUUACUCCAUUUUUACUGUCACCAGCCCCUUAAGUUUCAAACUUUGCAUUUUUACUCCUUGCACUAUGUUACUCUAUUUUUACACCUCCUCAACUUUUAAAAUUCCAUAAGGUUAACGCAUCAUAAAGCGUUUGGACUAAUUCAUUCGAUGUUUGCAAUGUACUCGCGUCGCAACGCGCACGGGUCUAAUUACUAGUAUACUUUUAAAACAAAAGGUCGGUGGCCACAAUGCACCGACUCAUGUUACAAUUUUACCCUUUGUCAAAAAUUACACAAAUACCUUUCAUUUCAACCUUUUUCUUUUCUACGCUACAUAUUAGACUGUGCGGAGUGGGGCGGGGGAUGUCCUUCAACGCCAGCUGUUCCACCCCGGGUUGGCGUUGGGCAUGGCGUUGCUCCUUUGUCGUGGGUAUUCAGCCUGGCGUGGGUAGGGGUGAGCAAAAGGCAAAACCCGACCCGACCCGAGAACCGAUCAGACAUAAAAUACAUAACCGAUUCACUACCCUAAAUAUAGGGUCGGUUCCGGGUUUUUAUGUAAUCGGGUUUGUCAGGUACUAAGUAUAAGAACCGACCCGACAUAUUUCAUUUUUGAGCAUGUUUUGUUAUGAACUUGGGAAGGCUAUUGUACAUUCACAAACCAUCCGAUGAUGAAGAAACACAACAUUUUCCUUGAUUUCGACCUUAUAUACAUUUCAAUCUAUGUUUCUAUUUCAAUCCAUUAACGGUGG
Helianthus annuus (common sunflower) is the source of this 1701-nucleotide long non-coding RNA. RefSeq lists it as uncharacterized. NCBI's taxonomy places the organism in Eukaryota, Viridiplantae, Streptophyta, Magnoliopsida, Asterales, Asteraceae. The record is from RefSeq and is a predicted model, not a curated record. The transcript has 7 exons.